GUCUGAACUUGAUUUAUAUCUAAGUCAUAAUUGUCCAAAUCUUCCUGGUUAUAUUCGCCACUACUCCACCUAAACUCGGUCUCCGAGUUUGCCGAAUGAAUUUUGUUAUCGUCGUGGGUAUCUUCCUCCUCCUCGCCGAUGCCGUUGCUGCGAAUUGCCACGCGAGCAAAUUGCAAGGGUCGAACGCACAUCUUGGUUUGAAUGUUUUAUGUCUAGAUGUUGAAUCUCGUGUCUACUAUUUACGUUCUCUUCCUUAAGUCUCUGAAUUUCGUCUUCCAUAUCAUUUAAGAUGCGAUUGUACUGCAUGUCAGAAUUUUUGUACUCCAUUGUUAAGCGUUGUCUGGUGUUCGUUAAAUUUAGGUUUUCCUCUUUCAGUUGAACUAUUACUCUUUCCAAAUGUUCAGUUCUACUUGUAUGUUCGGCUAACUCGUGUUCUAUCUUUUGAAUUAUCCGGCCAUGUUAUAAUCGUUCCAAAUCUACUUUGUCCAAAUUCUUCCUUAAUAUCACGUUAUCGUUCACUACGGUAUCCAAUUUAGAAUGUUCAGACUUGAGCGCAGCGAUUUCUUUGAUGAAGUUUCGGUUAGACAUUU
Molecule: long non-coding RNA, 590 nt
Filed under: Mytilus galloprovincialis (Mediterranean mussel)
Lineage: Eukaryota; Metazoa; Mollusca; Bivalvia; Mytilida; Mytilidae
Source: RNAcentral